RNAcentral lists this ribosomal RNA (273 nucleotides) under uncultured bacterium. RNAcentral's name for it is "partial 16S ribosomal RNA". It matches the Rfam family "Bacterial small subunit ribosomal RNA", at positions 524 to 796 of the family's 1533-position model. The record is from RNAcentral.
UACGGAGGAUCCAAGCGUUAUCCGGAUUUAUUGGGUUUAAAGGGUGCGUAGGUGGGUCUUUAAGUCAGUGGUGAAAGCCUAGAGCUUAACUCUAGAACUGCCAUUGAUACUGAGGAUCUUGAGUACAGUUGAGGCGGGCGGAAUGUGUCAUGUAGCGGUGAAAUGCUUAGAUAUGACACAGAACACCGAUUGCGAAGGCAGCUCGCUAAACUGUAACUGACACUGAGGCACGAAAGCGUGGGGAGCAAACAGGAUUAGAAACCCCUGUAGUCC